ACGGGUGUGAAGUCAUUGAUGCCAUGCUUCCAGGAAAAGCCUCUAAGCUUCAGAUUGUAAGGAAUCGUACCCCAAACCGACACAGGUGGUCGGGUAGAGAAUACCAAGGCGCUUGAGAGAACUCGGGUGAAGGAACUAGGCAAAAUGGUACCGUAACUUCGGGAGAAGGUACGCUCUUAUCAGUGAAGUCCCUUGCGGAUGGAGCAGACGAGAGUCGCAGAUACCAGGUGGCUGCAACUGUUUAUUAAAAACACAGCACUGUGCAAAAUCGUAAGAUGACGUAUACGGUGUGACGCCUGCCCGGUGCCGGAAGGUUAAUUGAUGGGGUUAGACUUCGGUCGAAGCUCUUGAUCGAAGCCCCGGUAAACGGCGGCCGUAACUAUAACGGUCCUAAGGUAGCGAAAUUCCUUGUCGGGUAAGUUCCGACCUGCACGAAUGGCGUAAUGAUGGCCACGCUGUCUCCACCCGAGACUCAGUGAAAUUGAAAUCGCUGUGAAGAUGCAGUGUACCCGCGGCUAGACGGAAAGACCCCGUGAACCUUUACUACAGCUUGGCACUGAACAUUGAACCUACAUGUGUAGGAUAGGUGGGAGACUAUGAAAUUGCGUCGCUAGAUGUGAUGGAGUCGUCCUUGAAAUACCACCCUUGUAGUUUUGAUGUUCUAACGUUGGUCCCUGAAUCGGGAUUACGGACAGUGCCUGGUGGGUAGUUUGACUGGGGCGGUCUCCUCCCAAAGAGUAACGGAGGAGCACGAAGGUGGGCUAAACACGGUUGGACAUCGUGUGGUUAGUGCAAUGGCAUAAGCCCGCUUGACUGCGAGAAUGACAAUUCGAGCAGGUGCGAAAGCAGGUCAUAGUGAUCCGGUGGUUCUGAAUGGAAGGGCCAUCGCUCAACGGAUAAAAGGUACUCCGGGGAUAACAGGCUGAUACCGCCCAAGAGUUCAUAUCGACGGCGGUGUUUGGCACCUCGAUGUCGGCUCAUCACAUCCUGGGGCUGAAGUCGGUCCCAAGGGUAUGGCUGUUCGCCAUUUAAAGUGGUACGCGAGCUGGGUUUAGAACGUCGUGAGACAGUUCGGUCCCUAUCUGCCGUGGGCGUUGGAAAAUUGAAAGGGGCUGCUCCUAGUACGAGAGGACCGGAGUGGACGAACCUCUGGUGUUCGGGUUGUCAUGCCAAUGGCAUUGCCCGGUAGCUACGUUCGGAAUCGAUAAGCGCUGAAAGCAUCUAAGCGCGAAGCGAGCCUUGAGAUGAGUUUUCCCUGGCACUAUAAGUGUCCUAAAGGGUUGUCGUAGACUACGACGUUGAUAGGCAGGGUGUGUAAGUGCUGCGAGGCAUUGAGCUAACCUGUACUAAUUGCCCGUGAGGCUUAACC
RNAcentral lists this ribosomal RNA (1369 nucleotides) under Vibrio toranzoniae. Its description in RNAcentral is "bacterial LSU rRNA". It matches the Rfam family "Bacterial large subunit ribosomal RNA", at positions 1579 to 2925 of the family's 2925-position model. The record is from RNAcentral. Lineage: Bacteria; Pseudomonadati; Pseudomonadota; Gammaproteobacteria; Vibrionales; Vibrionaceae.